Molecule: long non-coding RNA, 2352 nt
Filed under: Callithrix jacchus (white-tufted-ear marmoset)
Lineage: Eukaryota; Metazoa; Chordata; Mammalia; Primates; Cebidae
Description: lncRNA (ENSCJAG00000075638.1)
Source: RNAcentral
UACAGAGAAUAUAAUAAUGAAGACAAGCUCACAAGUAAAAUUGUGAUUGUAUAGGAACACACAGCUGAUAAUUAACAUUGUCACCCUCACACGUAGACAGAGCCCACUGUUGAGGUCCUGAAUCUCAAAUGCAUAUGCAGUCCACAGUUGGAAUUGUGACUAUCAUACGUAAAUCCAGGCACAGAUGGGACGGUUACUCAUUUCCAGACCAAGCUUACGGGCACCCUGAUGACCCUGUACCUAGCCAAUAGGAGAGAUAUUGGCUCUCAUACCUAGGCCAAGAUAUUGGGUCUAUAUCAGCAUGAAAGUCUCAGAGCAGACUGCGACUCUCACGCAUACUGUAUGAAGCUUCCAAGUGGUACAGAGAGUGUCAUAACAGGGCCCAAGAUUCAAGAUUGCCAGGACACUGCUCACAGGUAGAGUUGAAGCUCUCAUGCACGGAUCCGGUCCAGCAUUGAGUCACAGACUCGAACUCAACUUACAGAAAGAGUGGACUCAUAUGUGCAGCUGGAAUGUGUACGGGAGUGUGAAUCUCAUUCCAGAACCACCCCCAGGGUGGUUAGGACUGUGACAUAUACCUGGACCAAGCACUUAGGUGAUAUGACUGUCUUUCUUGAGCCCUGCCCAUAAGGGGGAUUAUGACAUACCUCUGGGAUAAUCAAUUAGGAAUGAAGUUUACCUUUUCUUCCUGGGACAUAUCCACAGGCAGCAUUGUAACAUAUUUUUGGGCCUUUCAUGUGGGUAAUGUGACUCUCCCUUUCUCUUUUUGCUUAGAAUUGACUUGGCUAUGCGGGCUCUCUUUUGGUUCCAUAUGAAGUUCAUGGUGGUUUUUUCCAGUUCUGUGAAGAAAGUCAAUGGUAGCUUGAUGGGGAUAGCGUUGAUUCUGUAAAUUACUUUGGGCAGUAUAGCCAUUUUCACAAUAUUAAUUCUUCCUAACCGUGAACAUGGAAUGUUUCUCCAUCUGUUUGUGUCCUCUCUGAUUUCGUUGAGCAGUGGUUUGUAGUUCUCCUUGAAGAGGUCGCUUAACGUUCCUUGUGAGUUUUAUUCCAAGGUAUUGUAUUCUUUUUGUAGCAAUUGUGAGUGGCAGUUCGUUCUUGAUUUGGCUUUCUUUAAGUCUGUUAUUGGUGUAGACGAAUGCUUGUGAUUUUUGCACAUUGAUUUUAUAUCCGGAGACUUGGCUGUAGCUGCUUAUCAGUUUCCCGAGUUUUUGGGCUGAGGCGAUGGGGUCUUCAAGGUAUACUAUCAUGUCGUCUGCAAAUAGAGACCAUUUGGCUUCCACCUUUCCUAUUUGAAUACGCUUUAUUUCUUUUUCUUGCCUGAUUGCUCUGGCUAGACCUUCCAGUACUAUAUGGAAUAGGAGUGCUGAAAGAGGGCAUCCUUGUCUAGUGCCAGAUUUCGAAGGGAAUGCUUCCAGUUUUUGCCCAUUCAGUAUGAUAUUGGCUGUUGGUUUGUCAUAAAUAGCUUUUAUUACUUUGAGAUACGUUCCAUCGAUACCGAGUUUAUUGAGGGUUUUUAGCAUAAUGCGCUGUUGAAUUUUGUCAAAUGCCUUCUCUGCAUCAAUUGAGAUAAUCAUGUGGUUUUGUUUUUGGUUCUGUUUAUGUGGUGAAUUACGCUUAAAGACUUGCGUAUGUUGAACCAGCCUUGCAUCCCCGGGAUGAAUCCUACUUGAUCAUGAUGAAUAAGUGUUUUGAUUUGCUGUUGCAAUCGGCUUGCCAAUAUUUUAUUGAAGAUUUUUGCAUCUAUGUUCAUCAUGGAUAUUGGCCUGAAGUUUUCUUUUCUCGUUGGGUCUCUGCCGGGUUUCGGUAUCAGAACGAUGUUGGUCUCAUAAAAUGAUUUGGGAAGGAUUCCCUCAUUUUGGAUUGUUUGAAAUAGUUUUAGAAGGAAUGGUACCAGCUCCUCUUUGUGUGUCUGGUAGAAUUCGGCUGUGAAUCCGUCUGGACCUGGGCUUUUUUUGAGUGGUAGGCUCUUAAUAGCUGCCUCGACUUCUGACCUUGUUAUUGGUCUAUUCAUACCUUCAGCAUCCUCCUGGUUUAGGCUUGGGAGGACACAGGAGUCCAGGAAUUUAUCCAUUUCUUCCAGGUUUACUAGUUUAUGUGCAUAGAGUUGUUUGUAAUAUUCUCUGAUGAUGGUUUGAAUUUCUGUGGAGUCUGUGGUGAUUUCCCCUUUAUCAUUUUUUAUUGCAUCUAUUUGGUUGUUCUCUCUUUUCUUUUUAAUCAGUCUGGCUAGUGGUCUGUGUAUUUUGCUGAUCUUUUCAAAAAACCAGCUCUUGGAUUUAUUGAUUUUUUUGAAGGGUUUUUCGUGUCUCUAUCUCCUUCAGUUCAGCUCUGAUCUUAGUUAUUUCUUGUCUUCUGC